GCAUUCGCCCUUCGGGGUGCCCAGGCGCGAAAACUUUACAAUGCUGGAAACAGCGAUAAGGGGACCUCGAGUGCCAGGUUACAAAUCUGGCUGUCGUGAUGCCUAAAAAGCAUUGCAUAGCAAGGGCCGGGCAAGACCGGUGCCAGCCGCCGCGGUAACACCGGCGGCUCGAGUGGUAACCGUUAUUAUUGGGUCUAAAGGGUCUGUAGCCGGCCGGAUAAGUCUCUUGGGAAAUCCAGCAGCUCAACUGUUGGGCUUUCAGGAGAUACUGUCUGGCUCGAGGCCGGGAGAGGUGAGAGGUACUUCAGGGGUAGGGGUGAAAUCUUGUAAUCCUUGAAGGGCCACCAGUGGCGAAGGCGUCUCACCAGAACGGACCUGACGGCAAGGGACGAAAGCUAGGGGCACGAACCGGAUUAGAUACCCGGGUAGUCCUAGCCGUAAACGAUACUCGCUAGGUGUCGGCCACGGUGCGACCGUUGUCGGUGCCGUAGGGAAGCCGUGAAGCGAGCCACCUGGGAAGUACGGCCGCAAGGCUGAAACUUAAAGGAAUUGGCGGGGGAGCAC
RNAcentral lists this ribosomal RNA (564 nucleotides) under uncultured archaeon. RNAcentral describes it as "bacterial SSU rRNA". It matches the Rfam family "Archaeal small subunit ribosomal RNA", at positions 314 to 879 of the family's 1478-position model. The record is from RNAcentral.